CCAGGAGUGGGAUUACUGGAUCAUAUGGCAGUCGUAGAAGAGUUCCAUUUUCCCCACAUCCUUGGCCGCAUUUGUGAGGAGAGGUCUUUUUGAUGAUGACCAUUCUGGCAGGUGUAAGGAGAGAGCUUGCUGUGGUUUUGAUUUUCAUUUCCCUAAUGAUGAGUGAUGUCAGGCAUCUUUUCAUGUGCCUGUGGGCCAUCUGAAUGUCAUCUUUGGAAAAAAUAUCUAUGAAUAGUCUUUAAAAAAAGAUUAUUGAGUUGCAACUUGCAAUUUAUAGAGAGAGAGACAUACAUGUAAUUUAUGUAUGUGGCAUGUAUCCGUGUAUAUGUGUGUGGAUGUAUAAACAUAUAUGUAAUGUGUGUAUAUGUAAUUUAUAUGUGUUUAAACUCUCCUGACAUACAUAUAUAAUAGUUAUUUUCUUUUUUUUUUUUCCUAGGUCUAUACCUUUGGCAUAUGGAGUUUCCCAGGCUAGGAGUCAAAUUCAAAUUGGACCUGCAGCUGCCAGCCUACACCACAGGCACAGCAGUGCGGGAUCCAAGCCACACUGGCAGCCUACACUGCAGCUCACAGCAACACCGGAUCCUUUACCCACUGAAGGAGGCCAGGGAUUGAACCUGCGUCCUCACGGAGACCAGGUUGGGUUUGUUCCUGAUGAGCCCCCAGGGGAACUCCACAUAUGGAAUAGUUCUUGAAGCACCUGUUCCACUGUACUGAGUCUUCCUUCCCUUUAGGUGUAUCUGUGAAGGCCUGGGUCCACUCAGGAUAACAGAAACCUCACCAUGGGUCUCAGUAGAGGGAUUUGAUAGAAGGGACUGGUGAGCGAGAUGCCCCGUAGCUGAAAUCCCUGCAGCUGCAGGAUAACAUCCAGGGGAAGAGGCUGCCUUGAGAACGAGGGCAGCCUGUGCAGGUGAAGCUCAGGCAGAUGUUGCAGAACCUCCGUGGAUGGCAUGGCUGGUGUGUCUGAGUGUGUGUGACCAUGUCUCGGGGAGCGGGACCUGCCAGAACCAAGGUCCAACCCAGGGCAGCAAAGAGGAAGAGAAUCACCGUUUGGUUUUCCCUCCCAGCUCUCGGGUUGCUUUGCGUCCCAGCUCCCCUGCAGAUGAAGGAGACGUUGAAAGUCAAGCCCUCAUCUCCUCCACCAGGUGGAUUGAAGGAUGGCAGAUGAGCUUCAGGCACACCUGUUGGCCCUUCUGCUUGGAUGGCAAUCCACCAGCCAGGUCCUCCAGCCAGAUGCCACCCCAAACGUCAGGAAACCACGCCCCUUCAGAGAGCCAAUCUGCCGAGACUGUAACCCACCAGAGCGGGACGUGGGCUUGGACUACAGGUUGAGGAGGACACGGGGAGGGACAGCGGGGCAAACGAGAAGUCAUUUCCUCCCGAUCUCAUUCUAGAAAUUCCAGAGCUACUAGGAAAUGAGUCCAGGUAGUACAGUGGCGGUUUUACCACCUUAACACAGAAGAGUUUUUAAAAGCUAUGUUCAAAACCUCCCUCUCACCGCACGUCCAUCUGGGAGCCAUGGCCCCCGCCUGGAUCACUGUCCCCAAGUAGUAACUUCAGCCCCUGGGCAAUGUAUCCCUUUGGACUUCUCAUAACUUUAGAUGCCUUGGUUCUCGUAACUGUAGCUACUGCAUUUCGUGGGGAAUUCAAGAAUACCAUGGCUGCUUCUUGGCCAUUGUUUACAUUUUUCAUCGUUUGCAUUUUUUUUUCCACAAAUGGUUUGCUUCUCAUCCCAAAGGAGGGGAAUAAGAAUUAGCAAAUGAAUAAGGUGAGAUUUUGUUUUGGGGUCCAGGAUGGGAAGCCAAAUCGCCAAAAGGAAAAUAAACGCAUUCAAGCAAAUCUCUAAAGAGAACCUUUCAAAACCGCUUUAUUAUUUUGGAGACAUCCUGCAAAGGGUCCCUGGGAAUGUCUGUGAUAUUAACGUUCAACGUGGCAAAACGGGAUAAAGAAACUUUGGAAGAGGGGAAUAAAUGCCUUCUACCCCCUGAUGAAAGAAAGCCAGAUUUGAAAGGGAAUAGUGGAGUUUAAUCUUGCUCUUCUUCUGCUAGAGGGUUUUGCAUUUGAUUUGUGUGCAUGAUACUCUGACCAAACACAUUUACAGAGGAAGCCUGCUCUGGAGUCACAGUUUGGAUGAUGGAUGUUCUCCCGCCCCCAGAUUUGAGGGGUGCAUUUCCGAGACUCAUUGUGAAUUCAGGAAACAUUUUGUUUUCCUCUGGAGUCUGGCUUCUGAGGAAGAGGGUGAUGGAAAGAAAGGAACGGUUUCAACUUUGGCCCAAGGGGCAGAAGUGGGCGUGGUCCUCACGCAGUCUCUGAAAAUGCAGACUCCAUCCUGUAUCGAUCCAGGGAAGGCGGAUUUAGUUUGCAUGCAACGGUUUUAUGAAAAUGCGGCGAUUCUGAGCCAUCUGCAGGGGACAUGCUCAUUAGCUGGCUGGGCUUCCAUCAGUCCCUUUAAUUGAUAGUCUGCCUCCUCACCUUGGAAACACAGAAUGUCAGGUGUCAUAAAACCACCUCUCAGCUAGAAAAGGGAGACGGGAGACGGGAGGCGGGCUGAGGAUGGUGUCCUUGUUGGGCUCUGUGUUGGUCGGCACUAGAUUCUUCACUGCAUUUUUCUUUUCUUUUUAUUUAUUGUCAUUUUAGGGCCCCGCUUGCAGUAUAUGGAGGUUCCCAGGCUACGGGUCCAAUCAGAGCUGUAGCCACGGGCCUAUGACACAGCCACAGCAACGCCAGAUCCGAGCUGUGUCUGUGACCUACACCACAGCUCACAACAACGCCGAAUCCUUAACCCACGGAGCAAGGCCAGGGAUUGAACCCGUGUCCUCAUGGAUGCUAGUCGGGUUCGUUACCUGCUGAGCCGUGACGGACACUCCCGCAUCUGUCUUUGAAACAUGACUCUGGUCCUAUACAAUUCUCAUCGAAUUCUUACGUCUUCCUCCAGCAACAAGUGUUAAGAUGUGUAAUAAGUUAAGGCUUUCUUUUCUGGAACUUGGCAGGAAAACUGAAUGUGGUCUGCAUGAGUCCUGUGCCUCAAGAUGAAGAAAACAGCUUAGAAGUAUCUUUAAAAAAACAAACAAACAAACAGCAUCCGGAGUUCCAUUGUGGCUCAGUGGGUUAAGAACCCAACUAGUAUCCACAAGGGUGCGGGUUCCAUCCUUGGCCUCGCUCAGUGGGUUAAGGAUCCAGCAAUGUAACAAGCUUCGGUAAAGGUCACAGAUGCAGCUC
This 3216-nucleotide long non-coding RNA is filed under the name Sus scrofa (pig). RNAcentral describes it as "lncRNA (ENSSSCG00055000393.1)". Lineage: Eukaryota; Metazoa; Chordata; Mammalia; Artiodactyla; Suidae. The record is from RNAcentral.